This 468-nucleotide ribosomal RNA is filed under the name uncultured bacterium. RNAcentral's name for it is "partial 16S ribosomal RNA". It matches the Rfam family "Bacterial small subunit ribosomal RNA", at positions 28 to 507 of the family's 1533-position model. The record is from RNAcentral.
GACGAACGCUGGCGGCGUGCUUAACACAUGCAAGUCGAACGGAAAGGCCCUGCUUUUGUUGUGUGCUCGAGUGGCGAACGGGUGAGUAACACGUGAGUAACCUGCCCCUGACUUUGGGAUAACUUCAGGAAACUCGGGCUAAUACCGGAUAUGAGCUCCUGCUCCACUGUGGUGGUUGGUAAGUUUCGGCGGUUGGGGCUGGACUCGCGGCUUAUCAGCUUGUUGGUGGGGUAGUGGCUUACCAAGGCUUUGACGGCUAGCCGGCCUGAGAGGGUGACCAGCGACAAUGGGACUGAGAGAGGGAGCAGACGGGUACGGGAGGCAGCAGUGGGGAAUAUUGCAGAAUGAGCGGAAGCGUGAGGGAGAAAGGCCGCGUGCGGGAUGACGGGCUUCGGGUUGUAAACCGCUGUGGCCGGAGACGAAGCGUGAGUGACGGUAAUGGGUAAAGAAGCACCGGCUAACUACGUG